This 3846-nucleotide long non-coding RNA is filed under the name Aotus nancymaae (Ma's night monkey). RNAcentral's name for it is "lncRNA (ENSANAG00000039158.1)". The record is from RNAcentral. Lineage: Eukaryota; Metazoa; Chordata; Mammalia; Primates; Aotidae.
CUGAGUGUCGAGACAUCUGAGGGAACUUUGCCCGAGGUCGCAGCCCCCCCCGGGAGGAGACCCUCCUAGGGACCCCUUCCGCAGGGACCUGGGGCGCCUCCCACUCCCUGCUGUGCCUGCGGGCACUCUCCCCAUGACUCACUAGAGAAGAGACCUGGGAGGAACCUGGGGACGUGGGUGUGUGACCGUGGGCCGCCAGGGUCCCCUUUCAGGCUGUUUCCCUGCAGGUGAACCAAGAGCCACAGCCAAGGCAGGCGAGCAAGCGUGAUGAGCCUGCCGCCCCUCUCCAGCCAGUGGAGGUUCCCCUGCCGCUCUCGCGCCAGGACGGUUGCUCUCACUGUCUGUGAGGCCCACGCCGAAGCCCUUCGGGCAGCCCUGGGCUCCCGAGAAGAGCCUUGCUGAGCUCCUGGGAAGAGGCGUGCCCUCCCCGUCCCCCAUUGCCCCCUUGGCUGUGCACGCGUGUGCACACGGGUUCGUGCACAUGAACACAAAAGUGUCCUCGUGGACAAUGUGUGGUACUGUGUAUGCACACAGCGCACGUGUGUGCCUGGACACCAGGUCCCGGAGGGAAUGUGGGCAGCAAGGUCGGGGUGGUUCCAAGGCCUUCAGAAGGAACCUUGAGGCAGCACCCACUGAAGCCAACCCCAGAAACACUCCCUCUGUGAACAGUAGCAGGGACUUCGCAGGGCUUAAGCCGAAUUUCCAGCUCAGUGUCAACCUGUGGAUUUGUGGUGAGUUUCCCUGCCCUCCCACCCUUCCUCUCUACCCUCUGAAGCCUGGCUCCAGCAUCACCUGCUCAGGCCGUCCCUGGCUCCGCUGCAGCCCCUGCCCGGACGGGAGAAGGCAUGUGCACCUCCUGCUCUGCUCCCAGCACAGCUUCUGCUCCAGCAAAGCCCACGGGCACUCAGGCCUGGUUCCUACACCCGUCACCCCUCGGAGCACCCGCCCUCACUGUCACCCAGGCCUCCUUUGUGCCUUGGACACAGAACCCCAGUUUUGUUCAAGGCAUCAAUGUACCCAGCCUCGCCAGCUGCUGGGGCCAGCUGUGACACAGUUUGCCCAGGGGAUGACUGCAGGAGGCACAAGGGAGCCUCCCGGCCCUUCGGAAGGGGCAGGUGUGGCCGCCCUCACUGAUGGCCUUCCUUUCUCCUUGCUCCAGCCUGGAGUGUGGUCACGGUGUCCCAAGAACAGCAGCCAUGUGGCCAGCGAGGGCCAGGGUCCCAGCAGCUGCCUUGGUGCCCCAAGGGCCAUGCUCAGACUCAUCAGCAUCGGGAGAACAAGCCCUUGCUCCCUUUACGGGGCUGCCUCCUUAGAUUUCGUUAGGUUUUCUGUAACUCAAGCCCAUGUCACUUCUAUUGGAGCUGAUUUGGGCUCCUAAGCUCACAGGGGGUGGGACGUCCUUCUAUUAGCUUCGUCCUGCCCGCCCCCCCUCCCCACAGCAGCAAUGGCUCCUUGCGGGCAGGCCCGAGGAAUGGCCUGGAAGAGCUUGCGAGGAGCGAGGGCACAGGAGACACCCUCCCAGGGGCAUCUUUCCCACAUGUCCCCAGGCAGCCCAGGCUUCCAACUACAUCUUAAAACAUGAAAAAUGGGGAGGAGAAGAAACUUUGGUCCUAACACCUAGCCAAGCCCUGUCUUGCUGUGUGAUCUUCAGCCUGAGGCACACCUUCUCUGGGCUUGAUCACCAAAGCCGCAAAUGCAGGGCAGAGCACUCAUGAGGUCUGCCCAAGAGCGAGGUUGGUAAAUGGCUGGCAGAACCACGGGCGUGGGACGUGUGGGAGGGUGGUGAGCCAUUCCCUCAUCACCCACGCCAGGGUAGUGUCAUGGGGGGACACGUGGGUGUCUCUGGGAAGGGCCUGGCACAGCCCCAGCACAUGGCAGGGGUCUAACCAUUCAAGACUCAUUCUGUGUCGUCGGACAUCCCGUCUCUUAGAAACCAGCUCCAGCCUGACGCGCAGAACAGCCUCCUGAGGUGUUGAGCGGUGAGCAAGAGUGACAAAAAGCAAAACGAAAUAAAAGAAUAGAGAAUCCAUGGGCGAGCAUGUACGGUGCUAUUCCUGCUAACGCAUCGUCCAAGGAAGGACAGUUGCCACGUUUCCUGGGAACGCUCCCCACCCGACCCCCGCCGGCAUCCCUGAGCCCGAGAUCAGCAGGUGGGGACCAGGGGAUGGGAAGAGUCUCCGCACUGCAAGGCCAUGGUCCACCCAGGUCCCACAGCCACCGCUGGGCCUGCUGCUGGGCACAGCUGCCCUCCUUCCCUGCCAAAGUCCAUCCCAUCUACAAAGCCUGUCUCCUCACUCACUCAUCCAGCAAACCUUUACUUCCAUGCCAAGCAGCGUGCUAGGUUCCAGGGAUACCAUCCAGUUCGAUUGGGUUGCUAACGACAGAACAAACCCAAAUCUCAUAUGGUUGCUUUUAAUGUUGUAUUUUCAUGUCCAGGUAGGCAGUAGGACUGAGAAGGUGGCCUCACAAUCAUCAGGACCCCAGGCCCCCUUAGUCUGGUUGCCCCAUCAAUCCCCAAAUAGGCCUUCUGCCUCAUGGUGCAAGACAGCUGCUGAAGCUCCAGCCAUCAUGUCUGCUUUCAUCCAGAAGGGAGGAAACAUUGGCAUACUCUUCCCAACCUCCUAACCCAAGUUUUUAUGGUCGCUGCUGGAUUCUGCACACACCACCUCUGCUUAUAGCCCCCGUGGCCACAGCUGGGCCCCUUGGGUGCUUGGAGCUGCAGGAGAGGCUCGGUCAUUUCUCCACCCCAGGGACUGUGUUUUCAGCUAAGAGCUGGACUCCUGCGCGGAGUAAGGAGGGAAGGAUGGUGUUACCCGGCAGUCUUGGCAUCAGGACACAGCCCUGUGCACCACCUGGCGACAGGCAGGGGUCAGCAGCCUGCACACCACACACGUGUGCUCCGGGAACCUGUGCCGAGGUUGUGCAGGAGUGAUUGGGGCGUGGAGGACCCCGGAGGAAAGGGGGGUCAGGGAAGGCCCCUCAGUGAGAAGACCAAAAUGGGUGAGACUUAAGGGGUAGCAUUUCUAGGGGUGAGCUGUGAGUACCAUGGCAAGAGAGGAGACAGCAACGUCCGCGUCCCACCGUCCUCUGUGGACACAUACUGACCCCUCCAGCUGCUCGGAGUUGUGGGGGCCGGACAGCCCAUCUCCUGCCUCCUCAUUUCACAGGGAGGAACCCAGCAGAGGAGGGGCAGGCACAGGGUCCGAGACCAGCCCCCAGCCACUCUGAGCCCAGCCCGUGUCCCCUAACCCCAGGCCCAGUCUCUGCCUCCUCAUCCUGGCACCUCCCCUCUCCACACACUCAGCCUGUAUCGGCCACGAAGUCACAGCCCUGUGGAGUCACUGGUGAACCCAGGGGACUUUAUUUUGUUCGGCUUUUUUUUUUUUUUUUUUGAGACAGGGUCUUGCUGUGUCGCCCAGCUGGAGUGUAGUGGUGCAAUCACAGCUCACUGCAGCCUUGACCUCCCAGGCUCAAGCGAUCCCCCCACCUCAGCCUCCCUGGGAGCUGGGACUGCAGGUGCAUGCUCAUGUUUUUGGAUUUUGUAUUUUUUGUAUUUGACACAGGGUUUCACCAUGUUGCCCAGGUUGGUCUCAAACUCCUGAACUCAAGUGAUUCACCUGCCUCGACCUCCCAAAGUGCUGGGACUACAAGCGUAAGCCACCGUGCUCAGCCUCUCUGUGACGGAACUCUGAAAACAGUGUCAUUCGCCAUUUCUUGUACAGUCAACAGCACGCAGUUUGGUUCUGAAUGUGUGAUUCUCGUGUGUCCACUGUUUGGAGUUAGACCGGGUACCUGAAUGAGACCAGGAUGCUUUAGGGACAGCGAGCGUCGUGGAUGUGUACCCUG